RNAcentral lists this ribosomal RNA (637 nucleotides) under uncultured bacterium. RNAcentral describes it as "bacterial SSU rRNA". It matches the Rfam family "Bacterial small subunit ribosomal RNA", at positions 202 to 842 of the family's 1533-position model. The record is from RNAcentral.
UAAAGGUAUUCCGGUAGACGAUGGGGAUGCGUUCCAUUAGAUAGUAGGCGGGGUAACGGCCCACCUAGUCUUCGAUGGAUAGGGGUUCUGAGAGGAAGGUCCCCCACAUUGGAACUGAGACACGGUCCAAACUCCUACGGGAGGCAGCAGUGAGGAAUAUUGGUCAAUGGGCGAGAGCCUGAACCAGCCAAGUAGCGUGAAGGAUGACUGCCCUAUGGGUUGUAAACUUCUUUUAUAAAGGAAUAAAGUCGGGUAUGGAUACCCGUUUGCAUGUACUUUAUGAAUAAGGAUCGGCUAACUCCGUGCCAGCAGCCGCGGUAAUACGGAGGAUCCGAGCGUUAUCCGGAUUUAUUGGGUUUAAAGGGAGCGUAGAUGGAUGUUUAAGUCAGUUGUGAAAGUUUGCGGCUCAACCGUAAAAUUGCAGCUGAUACUGGAUAUCUUGAGUGCAGUUGAGGCAGGCGGAAUUCGUGGUGUAGCGGUGAAAUGCUUAGAUAUCACGAAGAACUCCGAUUGCGAAGGCAGCCUGCUAAGCUGCAACUGACAUUGAGGCUCGAAAGUGUGGGUAUCAAACAGGAUUAGAUACCCUGGUAGUCCACACGGUAAACGAUGAAUACUCGCUGUUUGCGAUAUACUGCAA